This 116-nucleotide ribosomal RNA is filed under the name Rummeliibacillus stabekisii. RNAcentral also lists the same sequence under 3 other names. The record is from RNAcentral. Lineage: Bacteria; Bacillati; Bacillota; Bacilli; Caryophanales; Caryophanaceae.
UCUAGUGAUGAUGGCAAAGAGGUCACACCUGUUCUCAUGCCGAACACAGAAGUUAAGCUCUUUAGCGCCGAUGGUAGUUGGGGGCUUCCCCCUGCGAGAGUAGGACGUCGCUAGGC